UACGUAGGGUGCGAGCGUUAAUCGGAAUUACUGGGCGUAAAGCGUGCGCAGGCGGUUUUGUAAGUCAGGUGUGAAAUCCCCGGGCUUAACCUGGGAAUGGCAUUUGAGACUGCAAGGCUGGAGUGCGGCAGAGGAGACUGGAAUUCCUGGUGUAGCAGUGAAAUGCGUAGAUAUCAGGAGGAAUACCGAUGGCGAAGGCAGGUCUCUGGGCUGACACUGACGCUCAUGCACGAAAGCGUGGGGAGCAAACAGG
RNAcentral lists this ribosomal RNA (253 nucleotides) under uncultured bacterium. RNAcentral describes it as "partial 16S ribosomal RNA". It matches the Rfam family "Bacterial small subunit ribosomal RNA", at positions 524 to 776 of the family's 1533-position model. The record is from RNAcentral.